CAUAAUGCAAAUACUUUUAAACGGAAUUUCUUUUCCUUCUCGCAAAUUGAAAUAUUUUUUUCUGUAAUAAUGAAUCAGAAUAGGUCAAAUCUAAGGUAUUAACAGGAUUCAUCUAUUUUCGUGGGUGUCAAUUUCCGUGGAACGAGGAAAAAUUGCCUUUUCGUGGUUUUGGUAUAGUAUGCUUACAACACAAUAGGAAUAAGUAAUUAGUUGAACAUAUAAUUUUUUGGUUCAACUGUACACACCAGAAAAAUUGAGAUCCAACGAAUAGUAAUAAAUACAUAGUAAAAAGUUACUUUUAUAUGUAUUUUAAAAAAGUACUAUUAUAAACAUAAAAAAGAUGUGGUAUAUCUGCCAAUUACAUUGAGACAACUAUCUAGUCAUAAUGACUUAGAUGCAUGGAACUAAAAGUGACCAUACAGUCUUCAACAAUGAACAAAAUCAAUACUGUAUAUAUGUAUAUAUAAAUGCCUAAAAAGUUUACAAAAUAACACCAAUAAUAAUAAAAGGCAAUAUUAAAUGUAAUUAUAUGUGAUUUGCGUCUGUCCUGAGUACGGAAC
Molecule: long non-coding RNA, 560 nt
Filed under: Mytilus galloprovincialis (Mediterranean mussel)
Lineage: Eukaryota; Metazoa; Mollusca; Bivalvia; Mytilida; Mytilidae
Source: RNAcentral